UACGGAGGGUGCGAGCGUUGUUCGGAAUCACUGGGCGUAAAGCGCGUGUAGGCGGCCCAUUAAGUCUGAUGUGAAAGCCCGGGGCUCACCCCCGGAAGUGCAUUGGAGACUGGCGGGCUCGAGUCCCGGAGAGGAGGGUGGAAUUCCUGGUGUAGCGGUGAAAUGCGUAGAUAUCAGGAGGAACACCGGUGGCGAAGGCGGCCCUCUGGACGGUGACUGACGCUGAGGCGCGAAAGCGUGGGGAGCGAACAGG
This 253-nucleotide ribosomal RNA is filed under the name uncultured bacterium. Its description in RNAcentral is "partial 16S ribosomal RNA". It matches the Rfam family "Bacterial small subunit ribosomal RNA", at positions 524 to 776 of the family's 1533-position model. The record is from RNAcentral.